UUGGAGUCGUUUUCGGCUUUCGACUGUUUGCUUGGCCUUCGAGCCACGCAGGCGGCUGAUUGCUGUGGCGGUUUCGGGGAUGUUUAUCGUAAAGGUGCAUGAGUGGUGUUUGGAUUGAUACGGGUGGUCGGCUCCCUGCUUGAGCAGGCACGGCCAUGCGUACAUUCCUCUUCAGUUAUUCGACAAGGCUUGUAUUGCCUUGACCAUAUAUGUGGGUUUCCUGUGUUGCAUACCUGAUCAAUGGCAUCGUCUUGAUCAAAACAGUCCCUUUUUCGUCAAGCGCCGCUCUYGUGACGUCGGACGAACCAAGUAGCACCCUUUUUGAUCCAUCUCGUUGAUGAGCAUUUGUUGAUGGUUUGGCCCAUUGAGGGAUGCUUGGUCUCUUGGAUAUGGAAGCCAAAGUGGGCAUGGGUUCGUAUGAUCCUUUUACUGCCCUCGUUGAGCGUUCUCGCUUCUUUAAAACGACUGCCUCUCACGUAUGGCACGUCCCAGCGUGUUUGGCUAUGUCGAAGAGGAAUGCUACC
Molecule: unclassified non-coding RNA, 524 nt
Filed under: Llerasia lindenii
Lineage: Eukaryota; Viridiplantae; Streptophyta; Magnoliopsida; Asterales; Asteraceae
Description: partial external transcribed spacer
Source: RNAcentral